GUCUAUGGCCAUACCACCCUGAAUGUGCCUGAUCUCAUCUGAUCAUGAAAGCUAAACAGGGUAAGGCCUGGUUAGUACUUGGAUGGAAGACAGAUCUUCAAAAAAGUCUGCUCAGAGACAAGCAAUUUGAAGACA
This 135-nucleotide ribosomal RNA is filed under the name Castor canadensis (American beaver). Lineage: Eukaryota; Metazoa; Chordata; Mammalia; Rodentia; Castoridae. The record is from RNAcentral.